AGAUUAGGCUUUAGAUUGUAAAUCUUAAAACUUUUUUUUUAUGUUAUGUGUUCUUAAUUUUAUGAUUUUAUCCUUCAAUUUAAAUUUAUAUUUGUUAGAUCUGUUGAAUUUGUUGCCUUUGUUUUUGAAUUGAAAAAUGUUUGGAUGUCAUUUGCGUAGACGGAAAGUGAUUGGACGCAUAAGGCUGGGUAUGUGGUGGUUAUGCAAGAAGAUUGGUUGAUGUUUAUGAGCUUUUUUUGAAACUUUGGUCCAUGAGGCUGCGCUGGCCGCCGUGAG
Molecule: RNA transcript, 276 nt
Organism: Arabidopsis thaliana (thale cress)
Lineage: Eukaryota; Viridiplantae; Streptophyta; Magnoliopsida; Brassicales; Brassicaceae
Exons: 1
Source: RefSeq